ACACUUUUAGUUUAAAGGUUAAAACUAUAGUCUUCGAAACUAUGGAUAUGGGUUCAAUUCCUAUAAAGUGUU
Molecule: transfer RNA, 72 nt
Filed under: Pneumocystis murina
Lineage: Eukaryota; Fungi; Ascomycota; Pneumocystomycetes; Pneumocystales; Pneumocystaceae
Description: tRNA-Arg
Rfam family: tRNA
About the family: Transfer RNA (tRNA) molecules are approximately 80 nucleotides in length. Their secondary structure includes four short double-helical elements and three loops (D, anti-codon, and T loops). Further hydrogen bonds mediate the characteristic L-shaped molecular structure. tRNAs have two regions of fundamental functional importance: the anti-codon, which is responsible for specific mRNA codon recognition, and the 3' end, to which the tRNAs corresponding amino acid is attached (by aminoacyl-tRNA synthetases). tRNAs cope with the degeneracy of the genetic code in two manners: having more than one tRNA (with a specific anti-codon) for a particular amino acid; and 'wobble' base-pairing, i.e. permitting non-standard base-pairing at the 3rd anti-codon position.
Source: RNAcentral